AUGGACGCUGACGGCGUGCCUAAUACAUGCAAGUCGAGCGCACGGACGAGAAGCUUGCUUCUCUGAUGUUAGCGGCGGACGGGUGAGUAACACGUGGAUAACCUACCUAUAAGACUGGGAUAACUUCGGGAAACCGGAGCUAAUACCGGAUAAUAUUUUGAACCGCAUGGUUCAAAAGUGAAAGACGGUCUUGCUGUCACUUAUAGAUGGAUCCGCGCUGCAUUAGCUAGUUGGUAAGGUAACGGCUUACCAAGGCAACGAUGCAUAGCCGACCUGAGAGGGUGAUCGGCCACACUGGAACUGAGACACGGUCCAGACUCCUACGGGAGGCAGCAGUAGGGAAUCUUCCGCAAUGGGCGAAAGCCUGACGGAGCAACGCCGCGUGAGUGAUGAAGGUCUUCGGAUCGUAAAACUCUGUUAUUAGGGAAGAACAUAUGUGUAAGUAACUGUGCACAUCUUGACGGUACCUAAUCAGAAAGCCACGGCUAACUACGUG
This 496-nucleotide ribosomal RNA is filed under the name uncultured bacterium. Its description in RNAcentral is "partial 16S ribosomal RNA". It matches the Rfam family "Bacterial small subunit ribosomal RNA", at positions 29 to 507 of the family's 1533-position model. The record is from RNAcentral.